This 1445-nucleotide ribosomal RNA is filed under the name Streptococcus salivarius. RNAcentral's name for it is "bacterial SSU rRNA". It matches the Rfam family "Bacterial small subunit ribosomal RNA". The record is from RNAcentral. Lineage: Bacteria; Bacillati; Bacillota; Bacilli; Lactobacillales; Streptococcaceae.
AGGUGCCCUUAUUACAUGCAAGUAGAACGCUGAAGAGAGGAGCUUGCUCUUCUUGGAUGAGUUGCGAACGGGUGAGUAACGCGUAGGUAACCUGCCUUGUAGCGGGGGAUAACUAUUGGAAACGAUAGCUAAUACCGCAUAACAAUGGAUGACACAUGUCAUUUAUUUGAAAGGGGCAAUUGCUCCACUACAAGAUGGACCUGCGUUGUAUUAGCUAGUAGGUGAGGUAACGGCUCACCUAGGCGACGAUACAUAGCCGACCUGAGAGGGUGAUCGGCCACACUGGGACUGAGACACGGCCCAGACUCCUACGGGAGGCAGCAGUAGGGAAUCUUCGGCAAUGGGGGCAACCCUGACCGAGCAACGCCGCGUGAGUGAAGAAGGUUUUCGGAUCGUAAAGCUCUGUUGUAAGUCAAGAACGAGUGUGAGAGUGGAAAGUUCACACUGUGACGGUAGCUUACCAGAAAGGGACGGCUAACUACGUGCCAGCAGCCGCGGUAAUACGUAGGUCCCGAGCGUUGUCCGGAUUUAUUGGGCGUAAAGCGAGCGCAGGCGGUUUGAUAAGUCUGAAGUUAAAGGCUGUGGCUCAACCAUAGUUCGCUUUGGAAACUGUCAAACUUGAGUGCAGAAGGGGAGAGUGGAAUUCCAUGUGUAGCGGUGAAAUGCGUAGAUAUAUGGAGGAACACCGGUGGCGAAAGCGGCUCUCUGGUCUGUAACUGACGCUGAGGCUCGAAAGCGUGGGGAGCGAACAGGAUUAGAUACCCUGGUAGUCCACGCCGUAAACGAUGAGUGCUAGGUGUUGGAUCCUUUCCGGGAUUCAGUGCCGCAGCUAACGCAUUAAGCACUCCGCCUGGGGAGUACGACCGCAAGGUUGAAACUCAAAGGAAUUGACGGGGGCCCGCACAAGCGGUGGAGCAUGUGGUUUAAUUCGAAGCAACGCGAAGAACCUUACCAGGUCUUGACAUCCCGAUGCUAUUUCUAGAGAUAGAAAGUUACUUCGGUACAUCGGUGACAGGUGGUGCAUGGUUGUCGUCAGCUCGUGUCGUGAGAUGUUGGGUUAAGUCCCGCAACGAGCGCAACCCCUAUUGUUAGUUGCCAUCAUUCAGUUGGGCACUCUAGCGAGACUGCCGGUAAUAAACCGGAGGAAGGUGGGGAUGACGUCAAAUCAUCAUGCCCCUUAUGACCUGGGCUACACACGUGCUACAAUGGUUGGUACAACGAGUUGCGAGUCGGUGACGGCAAGCUAAUCUCUUAAAGCCAAUCUCAGUUCGGAUUGUAGGCUGCAACUCGCCUACAUGAAGUCGGAAUCGCUAGUAAUCGCGGAUCAGCACGCCGCGGUGAAUACGUUCCCGGGCCUUGUACACACCGCCCGUCACACCACGAGAGUUUGUAACACCCGAAGUCGGUGAGGUAACCUUUUGGAGCCAGCCCGCCUAAAAGGGGGG